RNAcentral lists this ribosomal RNA (253 nucleotides) under uncultured bacterium. RNAcentral's name for it is "partial 16S ribosomal RNA". It matches the Rfam family "Bacterial small subunit ribosomal RNA", at positions 524 to 776 of the family's 1533-position model. The record is from RNAcentral.
UACGUAUGGGGCAAGCGUUAUCCGGAUUUACUGGGUGUAAAGGGAGCGUAGGCGGCCUGGCAAGCCUGAUGUGAAAUACCGGGGCCCAACCCCGGGGCUGCAUUGGGAACUGCCAGGCUGGAGUGCCGGAGAGGCAAGCGGAAUUCCUAGUGUAGCGGUGAAAUGCGUAGAUAUUAGGAAGAACACCAGUGGCGAAGGCGGCUUGCUGGACAGUAACUGACGUUGAGGCUCGAAAGCGUGGGGAGCAAACAGG